ACCACUACGUCCUGCUCUGCCUCCAGCACAUCACAGUCGCCUCUUAAUCCUGGUCUCGCAUCCUCACCCAGGUAUGUCUUCUCUGCUCCUGGCGGCAGCUGACGACUCAAUACCAAGAGCAACGAGCUUUUUCAGCACCACUGCCUGUCCCACCACACCACGGGCAACAAGUGGGACCAGGGUCAGCAUGCGUCCUGCCUGCCGGCUACUCUCAAGGACUGACCCCCCUCCUCCUUCGGAAACUCCCCCCAGCUGUCCCAAACCCCUACCCAGGGCAGAUGCAAAAUCCCCGGGCACCAGCGGGAGAGAGGGGAGAAGCAGCAGCCAAGAGAGGAUCCGAGGACAGCUUUGCCUCCAACCCCAGAUCCUGACCCAACACCUUGGACGCCAGGUCUCUCCCGCGAAGCGCUGGGAAGCAUGAGGCAUGCAGCAUUCAAAAUGUUUUUGAAAAAGACGGACUUGAAGCUGUUACAAACACGCCAUUGUACUCACUUCUUAUUCAGAGACCGGCUGCGCGCUCCGAGCUGCACGGGCAGGCAUUUUCCCCGGCUUUGUUUUACAAGCCGGAAUCCCCCGCUGACCUCCACCCUCCCACCUGCACGCUGGGUGAGAGUUUAUCUUCCUGAAGGCUCCUGGGCCAGAGGGGAAUAUUUUCCCAGUUACAAGGAGAACUUCCAAGUUAAAGCAGUUAAACAUGUGAAACUAGUGAAAGCUAUAGACGUGGAGGACGUUAGGUCGAGCAGGAAGAUCUGAUUUUGACGAGAGCGUUGGAAACUUUCUGCAAGACUGUGGCCCUCAGUGAUUUAAAAUGACAACUUGUUUUUAAGAUUCCAGAACAGAUUCAGCAUCUCUUUCCCCUAUUAAAAAUGUCUUCCUUAUUAGGAAUUCCU
Manis pentadactyla (Chinese pangolin) is the source of this 890-nucleotide long non-coding RNA. RefSeq lists it as uncharacterized. The record is from RefSeq and is a predicted model, not a curated record. The transcript is spliced from 3 exons. Lineage: Eukaryota; Metazoa; Chordata; Mammalia; Pholidota; Manidae.